Molecule: unclassified non-coding RNA, 646 nt
Filed under: Hevea brasiliensis (rubber tree)
Lineage: Eukaryota; Viridiplantae; Streptophyta; Magnoliopsida; Malpighiales; Euphorbiaceae
Source: RNAcentral
CUUGUAUCCUUUAACUUAUCCUACAUGAAUGCUUAGGCCUUCGGGUCACGCUCACUGGAUUCUGAUAAAUUACUGUGUUUUUGUUGUCUGCUUGUUGGUAGUGAAAUGCUCCAACGCUCCUUUCCUCCUGGCUUAGAUGAAGCAUUGCCGUACCAGAUCAUUCCGACCACAGCUAUGAACAUGCCCAGAACUACCUGUAAAUUGAGGCCCUCUCUCCCAAAGAAGAAGAACCCCAUUAUCAACACAAGGAUUGUCUUCAUAUGACCAAGUACUUGAAAUGACACAGCUGUGAAUUUGCCAAUGCAGAUGAACUGGCUGAGGUUGGUCCCAACCGCAAUGGUGCAUGANUAGAAUAAUGAACAUCGCAGAGGCUAUAUUAUAGUCAUAGGUGUAAACUCUUCUGUUUGUCAACCAGUAAUCCAAAAAGGGGCCUACUAACAGCAAUGUUGCAGCCUGUGCUGGAGCAGUAUGACCAAGUAGGUUAAAAGAACUAAGCGAAUACUUCUUUUGAAGGUAAUGCACAUAAUACUGUUGCAGAGAAGUGCUCCAGACAGCAAUGAAAGCAGCGAUGAAGCCCUUGGUAUUCACACUUACAUCGGUGAUAGUGCAAACACCAACACCCAAGAGAACAACUGCUAUACUCAAC